CCCCUGCAUACUUGAAGCCUUCCAAAGAGUGGGAAUGGGCACUCAGAAAGCAGGAGGUGAAGAAAAUGACCCACUAUUUGAGCAAGCCAUCAACAAAGUAAUGCUCUUGUAAUUCUGGAAACCAGAAGGGACCCGUUGAACAGCUUCCAGGUCCCAGACUCGAAUGGACCCUGACUGGGACCCUGCAACAAGAAGUUCCUCCUUGGCACUGAUCUGUAGGCUCUCAAUGGGUGUUGUGUGGC
Molecule: long non-coding RNA, 242 nt
Organism: Lagopus muta (rock ptarmigan)
Lineage: Eukaryota; Metazoa; Chordata; Aves; Galliformes; Phasianidae
Exons: 3
Source: RefSeq, a predicted model, not a curated record